CAUGCCCUACGGGACGCAGCAGUGGGGAAUAUUGGGCAAUGGGCGAAAGCCUGACCCAGCAAUGCCGCGUGAAUGAAGAAGGUCCUAGGAUUGUAAAAUUCUGUCCUAUGGGAAGAAACAAAUGACGGUACCAUAGGAGGAAGCCCCGGCUAACUACGUGCCAGCAGCCGCGGUAAUACGUAGGGGGCGAGCGUUGUCCGGAAUUACUGGGCGUAAAGAGAGCGUAGGCGGCACUACAAGUCUCAUGGGAAAUACCCGGGCUUAACUUGGGGG
Molecule: ribosomal RNA, 273 nt
Filed under: uncultured bacterium
Lineage: Bacteria
Description: partial 16S ribosomal RNA
Rfam family: Bacterial small subunit ribosomal RNA
Source: RNAcentral